UGCACCGAAGCUGCGGCAGCGACACUCAGGUGUUGUUGGGUAGGGGAGCGUUCUGUAAGCCUGCGAAGGUGGCCUGUGAGGGUUGCUGGAGGUAUCAGAAGUGCGAAUGCUGACAUAAGUAACGAUAAAGCGGGUGAAAAGCCCGCUCGCCGGAAGACCAAGGGUUCCUGUCCAACGUUAAUCGGGGCAGGGUGAGUCGACCCCUAAGGCGAGGCCGAAAGGCGUAGUCGAUGGGAAACGGGUUAAUAUUCCCGUACUUGGUGUUACUGCGAAGGGGGGACGGAGAAGGCUAUGUUGGCCGGGCGACGGUUGUCCCGGUUUAAGCGUGUAGGUGUGUGUUCCAGGUAAAUCCGGUUCACUUUAACACUGAGGCGUGACGACGAGGCACUACGGUGCUGAAGCAACAAAUGCCCUGCUUCCAGGAAAAGCCUCUAAGCAUCAGGUAACAUCAAAUCGUACCCCAAACCGACACAGGUGGUCAGGUAGAGAAUACCAAGGCGCUUGAGAGAACUCGGGUGAAGGAACUAGGCAAAAUGGUGCCGUAACU
RNAcentral lists this ribosomal RNA (547 nucleotides) under Salmonella enterica. Its description in RNAcentral is "partial 23S ribosomal RNA". It matches the Rfam family "Bacterial large subunit ribosomal RNA", at positions 1190 to 1735 of the family's 2925-position model. The record is from RNAcentral. Lineage: Bacteria; Pseudomonadati; Pseudomonadota; Gammaproteobacteria; Enterobacterales; Enterobacteriaceae.